AAAAAAUGGGCACGACUUGGGCAGAAUUCAGCGCGCGCCGCGCAUAACGUAACACUCCGAUAACCCAAUUAGGUGUUAUCGCGUCAUUUAACUUCACGAGGACGAGGGAAUCAUCGGAAUCGCUCUCGAGAGAUCCACGCUGUUAGCGAAAUAAGUGCCGGACUGUUACCGAGAUGCUUCUUAAAGAUCGGACGAUUUAAUCUUUUUAAGUGACCGUCCGUGGUUCGUCAAGGACGCCGGUAGUGAAAGAGAAGAAGGAGGUUUCAAUUAAAGCAGCGUGUCUCGCAAAUUCGCGUAUUUGCCGCCCGUAUAAGCUCCACUUGUUAUCACAAAAGCGCGACCAGCAUUUGAAGCCUAUCUUUAGUUCCAUAAACCUAAGCGAUUCCCGCGAAAAAGAGCAGGCCUUGCUCGCACGUCCUAUUACGAGCGGAAUGAAUUGAGAUAGGACCUCAACCGGAGCGUUUCAGCUUUGAGCGUUUCACCACCGUAACGAAUGAGCUCGUAAAAUCUGCACCACGGUGUUAUCGAGCCUAUUGAGAGCUCCUCUUUGCGAGGAGACGAAAAUUUCCGAGAAAAUUUGUUUGGUUACGUAAUAAGAAUAAAAAUGUUUUAUUUUUUUGUAUGGGACAAAAA
Wasmannia auropunctata (little fire ant) is the source of this 633-nucleotide long non-coding RNA. RefSeq lists it as uncharacterized. Lineage: Eukaryota; Metazoa; Arthropoda; Insecta; Hymenoptera; Formicidae. The transcript is spliced from 2 exons. The record is from RefSeq and is a predicted model, not a curated record.